CUACGGAGGGUGCAAGCGUUAUUCGGAAUCACUGGGCGUAAAGGACGCGUAGGCUGGUUGGCAAGUCAGAUGUGAAAUCCUACAGCUUAACUGUAGAACUGCAUUUGAAACUGCUAACCUAGAGUAUGGGAGGGGGAGAUGGAAUUAGUGGUGUAGGGGUAAAAUCCGUAGAUAUUACUAGGAAUACCGAAAGCGAAGGCGAUCUCCUGGAACAUAACUGACGCUAAGGCGUGAAAGCGUGGGGAGCAAACAGGAUUAGAUACCCUAGUAGUCC
This 274-nucleotide ribosomal RNA is filed under the name uncultured bacterium. RNAcentral describes it as "partial 16S ribosomal RNA". It matches the Rfam family "Bacterial small subunit ribosomal RNA", at positions 523 to 796 of the family's 1533-position model. The record is from RNAcentral.